This is a non-coding RNA of Salvelinus sp. IW2-2015, 412 nucleotides long. The record is from RefSeq and is a predicted model, not a curated record. Lineage: Eukaryota; Metazoa; Chordata; Actinopteri; Salmoniformes; Salmonidae.
GAAACAAAACAUGGCUAAACAACAGAACCAGAGGACGAUGAAGAAAUCCUGAGCACGUUUGAAAAGUUUGUUCGGAAUCAGGGACUGGUUGACUGGCCCGUGGCGUUUGAGGAGAAUAUAAGAUAUAUCAUCCCACUUCAAACAUUACAGUCAUCCCAGACAGAUAUAUGACUACUUUAAAAGUAAACGUUGCCAUUCCCAGUGGACGUCACCAUGUCCUUCUCCAAGAGCAUAGAGGAGCUAUAUUCCAAGAUAAAACUACAUGCAUCCAUAAUGUCACAAGAACAGAGCAAAAACAAGAAUGCGGAGUCAGUGUUUGAUGACAUGAAUAAAUAUAAAAUGUAUGUGCAAAGAGCACAUCGAAUCAUCAAAGAGCAGAGUGAGGCAGUGUCGCGGAGCUUGGACAUCAAGG